AUUGAACGCUGGCGGCAGGCCUAACACAUGCAAGUCGAACGAGUGGCGGACGGGUGAGUAAUGUCUGGGAAACUGCCUGAUGGAGGGUGAUAACUACUGGAAACGGUAGCUAAUACCGCAUACCAUCGGAUGUGCCCAGAUGGGAUUAGCUAGUAGGUUGGGUAAAGGCUCACCUAGGCGACGAUCCCUAGCUGGUCUGAGAGGCUGACCCGCCACAAUGUAACGUAGUCACGGUCCAGCCUCCUACGGGAGGCAGCAGUAGGGAAUCUGCGGCAAUGGGGGGCAGCCUGACCGGGCAACGCCGCGUGAGUGAAGAAGGCUUGCGGGUUGUAUAGUACUUUCAGCGGGGAGGCGUUACCCGCAGAAGAAGCACCGGCUAUCUCCGUGCCAGCAGCCGCGGUAAUUC
RNAcentral lists this ribosomal RNA (406 nucleotides) under uncultured bacterium. RNAcentral describes it as "partial 16S ribosomal RNA". It matches the Rfam family "Bacterial small subunit ribosomal RNA", at positions 30 to 526 of the family's 1533-position model. The record is from RNAcentral.